AAAUUGAAGAGUUUGAUCAUGGCUCAGAUUGAACGCUGGCGGCAGGCCUAACACAUGCAAGUCGAACGGUAACAGGAAACAGCUUGCUGUUUCGCUGACGAGUGGCGGACGGGUGAGUAAUGUCUGGGAAACUGCCUGAUGGAGGGGGAUAACUACUGGAAACGGUAGCUAAUACCGCAUAACGUCGCAAGACCAAAGAGGGGGACCUUCGGGCCUCUUGCCAUCGGAUGUGCCCAGAUGGGAUUAGCUUGUUGGUGGGGUAACGGCUCACCAAGGCGACGAUCCCUAGCUGGUCUGAGAGGAUGACCAGCCACACUGGAACUGAGACACGGUCCAGACUCCUACGGGAGGCAGCAGUGGGGAAUAUUGCACAAUGGGCGCAAGCCUGAUGCAGCCAUGCCGCGUGUAUGAAGAAGGCCUUCGGGUUGUAAAGUACUUUCAGCGGGGAGGAAGGGAGUAAAGUUAAUACCUUUGCUCAUUGACGUUACCCGCAGAAGAAGCACCGGCUAACUCCGUGCCAGCAGCCGCGGUAAUACGGAGGGUGCAAGCGUUAAUCGGAAUUACUGGGCGUAAAGCGCACGCAGGCGGUUUGUUAAGUCAGAUGUGAAAUCCCCGGGCUCAACCUGGGAACUGCAUCUG
RNAcentral lists this ribosomal RNA (639 nucleotides) under Escherichia coli. RNAcentral's name for it is "bacterial SSU rRNA". It matches the Rfam family "Bacterial small subunit ribosomal RNA", at positions 1 to 629 of the family's 1533-position model. Lineage: Bacteria; Pseudomonadati; Pseudomonadota; Gammaproteobacteria; Enterobacterales; Enterobacteriaceae. The record is from RNAcentral.